GACGAACGCUGGCGGCGUGCCUAACACAUGCAAGUCGAACGGAGAAUUUCAAUAAGUUUACUUAGCGAAAUUUUUAGUGGCGGACGGGUGAGUAACGCGUGGGUAACCUACCCAUAAAGCCGGGACAACCCUUGGAAACGAGGGCUAAUACCGGAUAAUCUUGAGAAGUGGCAUCACUUUUUAAGGAAAGGUGGCCUCUGAAAAUGCUACCGAUUAUGGAUGGACCCGCGUCUGAUUAGCUAGUUGGUGGGGUAAAGGCCUACCAAGGCGACGAUCAGUAGCCGGCCUGAGAGGGUGAACGGCCACACUGGGACUGAGAGACGGCCCAGACUCCUACGGGAGGCAGCAGUGGGGAAUCUUCCGCAAUGGACGAAAGUCUGACGGAGCAACGCCGCGUGUAUGAUGAAGGUCUUCGGAUUGUAAAGUACUGUCUUUGGGGAAGGAUGGUCAUUUUGAGAAUAUUGAGAUGACAUGACGGUACCCAAGGAGGAAGCCCCGGCUAACUACGUGCCAGCCGCCGCAGUAA
This 526-nucleotide ribosomal RNA is filed under the name uncultured bacterium. Its description in RNAcentral is "partial 16S ribosomal RNA". It matches the Rfam family "Bacterial small subunit ribosomal RNA", at positions 28 to 523 of the family's 1533-position model. The record is from RNAcentral.